UGGGGAAUAUUGGGCAAUGGGCGCAAGCCUGACGCAGCGACGCCGCGUGUGGGAUGAAGGUCUUCAGAUUGUAAACCACUGUCGCGAGGGACGAAGCUCUGACGGUACCUCGAAAGGAAGCACCGGCUAACUCUGUGCCAGCAGCCGCGGUAAUACAGAGGGUGCGAGCGUUGUCCGGAAUCACUGGGCGUAAAGGGCGCGUAGGCGGCCCGGUAAGUAGGGGGUGAAAUCUCAUGGCUCAACUGUGAGGCUGCCUUCUAGACUGCCAGGCUUGAGCACAGUAGAGGCGAGUGGAAUUCCCGGUGUAGCGGUGGAAUGCGUAGAGAUCGGGAAGAACAUCGGUGGCGAAGGCGGCUCGCUGGGCUGUUGCUGACGCUGAGGCGCGAAAGCGUGGGGAGCAAACAGGAUUAGAUACCCUGGUAGUCCCUGAGCGGGCUGGCAAGGCGCAU
Molecule: ribosomal RNA, 449 nt
Filed under: uncultured bacterium
Lineage: Bacteria
Description: bacterial SSU rRNA
Rfam family: Bacterial small subunit ribosomal RNA
Source: RNAcentral